Molecule: transfer RNA, 76 nt
Filed under: Candidatus Eiseniibacteriota bacterium
Lineage: Bacteria; Candidatus Eiseniibacteriota
Also listed under: 1 other name
Description: tRNA-Thr
Rfam family: tRNA
About the family: Transfer RNA (tRNA) molecules are approximately 80 nucleotides in length. Their secondary structure includes four short double-helical elements and three loops (D, anti-codon, and T loops).
Source: RNAcentral
GCCCACGUAGCUCAGUCGGUAGAGCAUUUGCAUGGUAAGCAAAAGGUCAGCGGUUCGAAUCCGCUCGUGGGCUCCA